UACGUAGGGCGCAAGCGUUGUCCGGAAUUAUUGGGCGUAAAGAGCUCGUAGGCGGUCUGUUACGCCCGCUGUGAAAACCCAGGGCUUAACCCUGGGCUUGCAGUGGAUACGGGCAGACUAGAGGCAGGUAGGGGAGAAUGGAAUUCCCGGUGUAGCGGUGAAAUGCGCAGAUAUCGGGAGGAACACCGGUGGCGAAGGCGGUUCUCUGGGCCUGACCUGACGCUGAGGAGCGAAAGCGUGGGGAGCGAACAGG
This 253-nucleotide ribosomal RNA is filed under the name uncultured bacterium. RNAcentral describes it as "partial 16S ribosomal RNA". It matches the Rfam family "Bacterial small subunit ribosomal RNA", at positions 524 to 776 of the family's 1533-position model. The record is from RNAcentral.